RNAcentral lists this ribosomal RNA (589 nucleotides) under uncultured bacterium. RNAcentral describes it as "bacterial SSU rRNA". It matches the Rfam family "Bacterial small subunit ribosomal RNA", at positions 62 to 631 of the family's 1533-position model. The record is from RNAcentral.
UCGUGCGAGAAGGAGACUUCGGUCUCUGAGUAGAGCGGCGCACGGGUGAGUAACGCGUGGAUGAUCUACCCUUGAGUUCGGGAUAACGGUGCGAAAGCGCCGCUAAUACUGUAUAACAAUCCAUUUCAUCGUGGGUUCAAAGCAGGCCUCUUCAUGAAAGCUUGCGCUUGGGGAUGAGUCCGCGUCCCAUUAGCUUGUUGGCGGGGUAACGGCCCACCAAGGCUACGAUGGGUAGCUGGUCUGAGAGGAUGAUCAGCCACACUGGAACUGAAACACGGUCCAGACUCCUACGGGAGGCAGCAGUGGGGAAUAUUGCGCAAUGGGGGAAACCCUGACGCAGCGACGUCGUGUGAGGGAAGAAGGCCUUCGGGUCGUAAACCUCUGUCAGAAGGGAAGAACAUCCGGGAGUCGAACAGCCUCCCGGCCUGACGGUACCUUCAGAGGAAGCGCCGGCUAACUCCGUGCCAGCAGCCGCGGUAAUACGGAGGGCGCAAGCGUUAAUCGGAAUCACUGGGCGUAAAGCGUGCGUAGGCUGCUUGAUAAGUCAGACGUGAAAUCCCCUCGGCUCAACCGGGGAACUGCGUUUGAU